Molecule: ribosomal RNA, 800 nt
Filed under: uncultured bacterium
Lineage: Bacteria
Description: bacterial SSU rRNA
Rfam family: Bacterial small subunit ribosomal RNA
Source: RNAcentral
AGAGUUUGAUCAUGGCUCAGGACGAACGCUGGCGGCGUGCUUAACACAUGCAAGUCGAACGAGAAAGGCUCUUCGGAGCUGAGUACAGUGGCGAACGGGUGAGUAACACGUGGGCAACCUGCCCUAGGGAGCGGGACAACCCGAGGAAACUCGGGCUAAUACCGCAUGAUUCGCACGGCCAUAAGGUCGUGCGGGAAAUGGUAGCUUCGGCCUCCGCCCUGGGAUGGGCCCGCGGCGCAUUAGCUUGUUGGUGAGGGUAACGGCCCACCAAGGCGACGAUGCGUAGCUGGUCUGAGAGGACGAUCAGCCACACUGGGACUGAGACACGGCCCAGACUCCUACGGGAGGCAGCAGUGGGGAAUCUUGCGCAAUGGGCGGAAGCCUGACGCAGCAACGCCGCGUGUGGGAAGACGGCUUUCGGGUUGUAAACCACUUUCAGGGGGGACGAAGCUUCCGAGGUUAAUAGCCUACGGGGUGACGGUACCCCCAGAAGAAGCCCCGGCUAACUACGUGCCAGCAGCCGCGGUAAUACGUAGGGGGCGAGCGUUGUCCGGAAUCAUUGGGCGUAAAGCGCGUGUAGGCGGCUUGAUAAGUCUGGUGUGAAAUCUUGGGGCUUAACCCCAAGCCUGCACUGGAUACUGUCAAGCUUUGAGUCCGGGAGGGGAGAGCGGAAUUCCUAGUGUAGCGGUGAAAUGCGCAGAUAUUAGGAAGAACACCGGUGGCGAAGGCGGCUCUCUGGAACGGUACUGACGCUGAGACGCGAAAGCGUGGGGAGCGAACAGGAUUAGGUACCCUGGUAG